CUAACUUGAAGAGAUGAACUUGCACAGUUAGGACGCAGCAGAAAGCCAUCUUCAAGGAUAAGGCUGUACGCCCACAAGAUGCAGUAAAGAACACCGUUAAUAAAAAAGUAGCUCAGCCUGAGGAGUUAAGAGAUACUGAAAUUAUUGAAAACAAUUCUUGAAAAAGUACUUUUGCAACCAAAGUACAGCAACCAGCAAGACUCAAAUAGCAAGUUACAGAGCAACACAGUGGCAACUACAGCUGGAUAAGGGGCUUGGAAACGCUCAUCCCAGCUAGCACUCCUCAGUGAAUCACAAGGAACACUGACAGCAUUCUGACCUUCCUGGGAAUUAAAUCAGAGCCCGGUACCCCUCCUGGUAAGGCAGAACCACAUGAAAUAUUUACUGACCAGGUGUAAACUGUAUUAUUUUAAGCGUCUAAUAUUUGGCCGACUCGGGGUCUGAGCAACUGCUUUAAGUUUGCUGUUGCACGGUAUGCCUCAAAUAUAAUGUCAUCACUCACAUUUUAACUUAAUCUUGUCUGAGUUCUUAAUGCCAUUUAAUCACGCCAUUAUGCUUUGCCAGUUAGGUUCACACUGCAAUCUGAAGGAUACCCACACAAAUGAAUAGUGGGAGAAAGAGAAGGAAAGGGCUUCAUCACUGCCCUGAGACAAGGAGUCACUAUUCAGCCAGUCAAAGAAACGCCUAUCUUCAGGGAGCCCUGGCCCUCCUCCUCUCUUCCCUUCGCAGGAAGGAAGGCAUAAGCUGAGGACAGAAAGGUGCUGAAGUGCCUGGGAAAUGCGCCCAGCACUGAGGCUCUCAAAUAACCCUUUUGCUCAAGGGUUGAUCAUCGUGACAAGAAGGCAGCUGGACAGAGAAAAAAAACGAUGGUUUGAACCUCGCAGAAAUGUAUCAAGUCAUUUUCUUCACCUUUUCCUGUUUUUGCUUUUUCUGAUAGAAAGUUUUAACUGUAUUCUUUUUUACUUUAUAGAAUUUUCUAAGUAAAUGCUGUUCACUUUUUUUCUUAGCCUGGUGUAUAUGAUACUGUGGUUUUGCAGCACCUGGAAAGUAACAGGGAACCUCUUAGUAAGUAAAGGGCACAGCAACACCACAGAAAAAGGCUAAGGGAGAGGGCUGGUGCCAUUGUGAGGCUGCAGCCAGAGAGACUCCUGAGGCCUGGGAGGAAACAAACAUCCCUCCUGGUUUUGGUAAGAGCAGGAAGGGAGCCUCCAGGGAACUGGGGAAAGGGCCUUGGGAAAGAGAUGAAACACAGUCAGAACAAACAAGAUGGUGACCGGGAAUAGUUGGCACACCUAUAUGGAGGGAUGAUGUGUAAGGCCUUAACUGGCCUGGUGUGACAGCCCUCUGUGACGACGUGACCAGCCCAGGGGACACGGGGCAAGCAGUGGAUACUUCCUAACAUGACUUGACAGUUUUGAUGUUAUCUGACAUAAUACCCUCAUUGACAAGCCAAAGCACAGGCUGGGUAAGCAGACAGUGACUGAAGCCCAGAAGGUUGUGAUCAGUGGCAUAGACACUACUUGGAGCCCAGUAAUGAGCAGUAUAUGCAAGCACUGGGGCCAGUCAUGUUCAAAAUCUUUAUUAAUGACCUAGAUGAUGGGACAGGCAUCAAAAACACCGGAGGGUCAUCCCAAGAUGACCUUGACAGCCUAGGAAAAUGGCUGACAUGAACCUCUUGAUAUUCAACGGGGAAUUGCCAAGUGCAGUGACAAUCCAGUAGCAGCCAGUGAUGAAGGAACUGGAAGCCCCUUCAUAUGAGGACAGAUUGAGACAGCUGGGGAGAGGGCUGGGGGCGAUUCUAUCAAUAUUUUUAAACACUUGAUAAGGGUAUAAAGACCAUGGAGCCUUCCCAUUUGUGCCCAGUGAAGGGACAAGAGACAAGUUUAGCAUUAGGAUGAUGGCUCGACUUGAUCUUAAGGGUCUUUUCCGACAUAAGUGAUCCUAGGAACACCAGAAGCACUUCCGUGCCGUGCAGGUGACAGAGCACUAAAACAGGCUGCUCAGAGGCUGUGGAGUCUCCUGCUUGGAAAUAUUCCAGAGCCAUCUGGGUACCCUGCUCUACAUCACAUCUUGAUUUGAUUAUACCAUCUUCUUGGCACCUGUCCAACGUUGGAUAUUCUGUAAUUACAUGAAGACUGAGCGCCAGCUUCAGUCACAGAGGUGAGGGAGGAGUUACAACCACAGAGCUCAGCAGCAAAGAAAUCACUUCCAGCAGCAGCAGUAACUACCAGCUCUCCAGCACAGUACUUGGGUGACUCAAACACCAGGGAGCAGAGCUCCAACUCCUCAUCUGAAAGAUGUAUAAGGAGAAAAUUUUUCUUUGGAAAAAUCCUUUAUAAAGCAGCACUAUCUAAAUGAAAGAUGUAACCUGUAAAAGGUAUAAAACAAUGAGACAGGCAGAUUCCUAUCAUGUUCUUCAUAGACACUAUCUUGGGUAGAAAAUUUGAACUGUAUCUGUCUUUGCAAAGACCACAUAUACAAUUUUGGGGUAUUGUUUAUAAACUAUGGUAUAGUUUAUGAUGUAUUACUGCAAAAACAUUCUUUUUCACAUAUUGCCCUUCCUAUGCUUUUUAGGGAAAGAAAAUAUGUCCAAUGCAGCACUGAAAUUUUACUGAUAACUUUGGACACAUUUAUGGAAAUCAGUAAACAGUUCCAUCCGAUUAGCAAUAACUCCCCUGAAGAUAUUCAAUACGAAGGAUACAUGGAGCCCCUGGGCCAGUCCACUAUUACAGCUUAGUAUACCUUGAUUCUUAGUAUAUCUUGAUUGAUACGUCUCUAUGUAAUGCUGACACAACUAUGGACAUAGAAGGGUACUAAUCUGUAUUUCUCUUGCUUUAUCAGUACAGCUUGCAAAUCUCUGUUAAAUGUCAUCAGUGUUUACAAAGACUUCUACUUUACAAAAAGCUUCUUGAAAUUUCAGAACUGAACCAUCCCAUUUCCAUCUGCCUUUACAACCCACACAGUGUAUCUGAUUCCCCCAGAGAUGCUACCAACACCUGAGGAAGAUGACAGUACAAACCUACAUGUGUGAGAACUGAGCUCUACCCCAGAUUGUACGGAUACCAUGGACAGAGCCUUGCAGACUACAGGACUACUGGCUAACCCUACAGACCAUUCAGAAUCAGAAAUUACAAGGUUGUACAAACUGGAUUCUCCAUGCAAUGUGCCAAAAAACCCAGUAGAUCGGACAUGGCAGCACCGAUGUGGCACUAUGACUUCCCUCCAUGACACUUCAAGUCAAUUAAGAGUAUGUUAACAUAUGACAGGAAUUAGGCAAUGAAUAGGCAUGUAUUCCUUCAGCUAACACUUGCUUUCAAAUAUAAGCAGAAUUACAUCAAAUUGCGGGUGUGAACACAAAGACAGCUUCCAAUUCCAGUAAUCACUAAAUCCCCAUAUUUUACAAUACAUACCUCAUACUAAAGCUUGGUUUAGGAUUCCCUUUUGUAUUCAUAAGGCAGCAGCAGGAUUCUACAGAAGCCCGUCUUCAUCAGCAUUUUAACAUUUUAACAGUAACCUAAAAAAUAGAGAGACAGCAGUGACACAAACUAGACAAAACAGUUGUUUCUCUUCCCACAUACCCACAUGUAUAAUAUGAGGAAAUAAACGUUAAGAAUACUUCACACUACCAGAAAAAUCCAUUUAUUCUGUACCCAUUCUUAUACUUAGUUGUUCCCAGAGAGACUUCUUUGGCUUUAAGUUUUUAAAUCAAAUUUUACUACCUCGCAGUUAAAAACUAGCUGGUUCAAGAACAUAAGUUCCUCAUUUUCAUACUUCAGCUUUGAGUAAAUGCAGUUCUGCUCCGGAGUCCUGUCACCUCUUCGUAUGGUUUUAAAAGACACAUACUCAAACAAAGCACGUUCUUCUGCUAGGCCUGCCAAAUCCAGGCUUCAUCUUUAUCGUAUUGCUACUAAGAUAACUAGGAUCCCCACUCACGACCUAGUGCUAUUAGUGAUUCCUGACAUUGCUACUCUCAGCCUGGUUGUGGUGAGGAUAUAUAAGCAGAAAAGCAGCCUCCUCCAUGUUCCUCAGACUGCCUGGUACUGAUAUUUAACAGGAACAGAGCUAUAUGUGAAAAUUCAGUUGGAGUAAAAUGUCCUGCUUUAACAACUUGGAGCAGGGCUGUGCACAAGUCUCAUGAAAAUGUAUUUCAAUACUAAUUUCGGAAAUAGAUGCAAAAGUUUAAGACUUGUUAUUUCAAAGCUUCUAUUACAGAUUUCCUUGCAGUUGUGCUAAGUGUGGUCACAAGAAGGAGCAAGCCAGAACAUAACUUUGUUCCUAUUAAUUGAUAAUUACAACUUAUUGGAAAUAUAUCAGAAUUGCAUAAGUAAGAA
Long non-coding RNA from Gallus gallus (chicken), 4331 nucleotides. NCBI's taxonomy places the organism in Eukaryota, Metazoa, Chordata, Aves, Galliformes, Phasianidae. The record is from Ensembl.